GCGAGAGUGGCGGAACUGGCAGACGCGCUGGACUUAGGAUCCAGUGGAGCAAUCCGUGGGGGUUCGAGUCCCUUCUCUCGCACCA
Molecule: transfer RNA, 85 nt
Filed under: Deltaproteobacteria bacterium
Lineage: Bacteria; Pseudomonadati; Myxococcota; Myxococcia
Also listed under: 2 other names
Description: tRNA-Leu
Rfam family: tRNA
About the family: Transfer RNA (tRNA) molecules are approximately 80 nucleotides in length.
Source: RNAcentral